CGAGUGAAGCGGCAACAGCUCAAAUUUGAAAUCUGGCGCAAGCCCGAGUUGUAAUUUGCAGAGGAUGCUUUUGGUGCGGUGCCUUCUGAGUUCCCUGGAACGGGACGCCGGAGAGGGUGAGAGCCCCGUACAGUUGGACACCAAGCCUUUGUAAAGCUCCUUCGACGAGUCGAGUAGUUUGGGAAUGCUGCUCUAAAUGGGAGGUAAAUGCCUUCUAAAGCUAAAUACCGGCCAGAGACCGAUAGCGCACAAGUAGAGUGAUCGAAAGAUGAAAAGCACUUUGAAAAGAGGGUUAAAAAGUACGUGAAAUUGUUGAAAGGGAAGGGCUCGUGACCAGACUUGCGCCCGUCGGAUCAUCCGGCCUUCUGGCCGGUGCACUCCGGCGGGCUCAGGCCAGCAUCGGUUCUUCUGGGGGGACAAAAACGGCGGGAACGUAGCUCCUCCGGGAGUGUUAUAGCCCGCCGCAGAAUACCCCCGGGGGGACCGAGGACCGCGCUUCGGCAAGGAUGCUGGCGUAAUGGUCACCAGCCACCCGUCUUGAAACACGGACCAAGGAGUCAAGCAUUAGGGCGAGUGUUUGGGUGUCAAACCCGCACGCGAAAUGAAAGUGAACGCAGGUGAGAGCUUCGGCGCAUCAUCGACCGAUCCUGAUGUUUUCGGAUGGAUUUGAGUAAGAGCCUUACCGCUUGGACCCGAAAGAUGGUGAACUAUGCUUGGAUAGGGUGAAGCCAGAGGAAACUCUGGUGGAGGCUCGCAGCGGUUCUGACGUGCAAAUCGAUCGUCAAAUCUGAGCAU
RNAcentral lists this ribosomal RNA (795 nucleotides) under Myrmecridium iridis. Its description in RNAcentral is "partial large subunit ribosomal RNA". It matches the Rfam family "Eukaryotic large subunit ribosomal RNA", at positions 90 to 918 of the family's 3401-position model. Lineage: Eukaryota; Fungi; Ascomycota; Sordariomycetes; Myrmecridiales; Myrmecridiaceae. The record is from RNAcentral.